GGGUUGGUAGCAAACGCUGGCUUUGCAGCGGAUUCUUGCUCCGCCGUCACGAAGGUUCGAUUCCUUUCCAACCCACCC
RNAcentral lists this transfer RNA (78 nucleotides) under Deltaproteobacteria bacterium. RNAcentral's name for it is "tRNA-Lys". It matches the Rfam family "tRNA". Rfam says of the family: Transfer RNA (tRNA) molecules are approximately 80 nucleotides in length. Their secondary structure includes four short double-helical elements and three loops (D, anti-codon, and T loops). Lineage: Bacteria; Pseudomonadati; Myxococcota; Myxococcia. The record is from RNAcentral.